UUCCUUGUGCUAUGAUAUUGGUAGUAGAAAAAAGUGAACGGUGGCUACGAAUGGAUUGGAGGUGGUUCUUAUGAAUCUAAGUGCCAAAUCUAGGAAAGGAGUAGUCCUUUGUCAACUUUCGAGUGUUUAAUGUUAGUUUUGGCCUCUACUAGCCUAAUCGUAGAGUUGUUGAAAUUAA
This 178-nucleotide small RNA is filed under the name Granulicatella balaenopterae. Its description in RNAcentral is "Listeria sRNA rli28". It matches the Rfam family "Listeria sRNA rli28". The record is from Rfam by way of RNAcentral. Lineage: Bacteria; Bacillati; Bacillota; Bacilli; Lactobacillales; Carnobacteriaceae.